GAAGACGAAGAUGAUGAUGAUGACGAUG
Molecule: non-coding RNA, 28 nt
Filed under: Cricetulus griseus (Chinese hamster)
Lineage: Eukaryota; Metazoa; Chordata; Mammalia; Rodentia; Cricetidae
Source: RNAcentral